CUGUGCGUGUGACAGCGGCUGA
This 22-nucleotide non-coding RNA is filed under the name Branchiostoma floridae (Florida lancelet). Its record names the gene bfl-miR-210-3p. The record is from miRBase by way of RNAcentral. Lineage: Eukaryota; Metazoa; Chordata; Leptocardii; Amphioxiformes; Branchiostomatidae. RNAcentral also lists the same sequence under 28 other names.